CGUACGCUGGCGGCACGCCUAACACAUGCAAGUCGAACGCAGUAGCAAUACUGAGUGGCAGACGGGUGAGUAACAUGUGGGAAUCUGCCUUGUGGUUCAGGACAACAUUGGGAAACCGAUGCUAAUACUGGAUAAGCCCUUACGGGGAAAGUUUUAAUGCCAUAAGAUGAGCCCGCAUUUGAUUAGUUAGUUGGUGAGGUAAUGGCUCACCAAGACAAUGAUCAAUAGCUGAUCUGAGAGGAUGAUCAGCCACACUGGGACUGAGACACGGCCCAGACUCCUACGGGAGGCAGCAGUGGGGAAUCUUGCACAAUGGAGGAAACUCUGAUGCAGCGAUGCCGCGUGAGUGAAGAAGGCCUUUGGGUUGUAAAGCUCUUUUGUAGGGGAAGAUAAUGACUGUACCCUAAGAAUAAGGUCCGGCUAACUUCGUGCCAGCAGCCGCGGUAAUACGAAGGGACCUAGCGUAGUUCGGAAUUACUGGGCGUAAAGCGCGCGUAGGCCGUUGAGUUAGUUAAUUGUGAAAUCCCAAAGCUUAACUUUGGAACUGCAAUUAAAACUGCUCGACUAGAGUUUGAUAGAGGAAAGCGGAAUACAUAGUGUAGAGGUGAAAUUCGUAGAUAUUAUGUAGAACACCAGUUGCGAAGGCGGCUUUCUGGAUCAACACUGACGCUGAGGCGCGAAAGUAUGGGUAGCAAAGAGGAUUAGAUACCCUCGUAGUCCAUACCAUAAACGAUGAUUGCUAGAUGUUGGAAAUUUAUUUUCAGUAUCGCAGCUAACGCAUUAAGCAAUCCGCC
This 794-nucleotide ribosomal RNA is filed under the name alpha proteobacterium SCGC AAA206-C23. Its description in RNAcentral is "bacterial SSU rRNA". It matches the Rfam family "Bacterial small subunit ribosomal RNA", at positions 30 to 873 of the family's 1533-position model. Lineage: Bacteria; Pseudomonadati; Pseudomonadota; Alphaproteobacteria. The record is from RNAcentral.